AGCAGCUGUGCUCUUAAAUGGAAGGGGAUGGAGCGGCCCCUCUCCCACGGUUUCGUCUUCUCGAUGCCGCCCGUGCCCUCCUGAUUUCGCCGACGAUUCAAGCCGGAUUCUUGGGCGAAACCACGAAAUCGAGCCUCUAGAUCUCGAUAGCACGGAGGAGCGGCGGUUUCGGCCCGUUCGCGGGCGAAAACCAACGGCUUGUGGCCGUUUGUGGAAGGAGAUCAGGUGGGGGACCUGGAUUGAUACAUGAUCGGACCGGAUUCGAUGAAUGGAAGCCUAAAGAGGUAAAAGGCCGAGACUUUUGCUUUUUGGCAAUUUUCGCUGGAUUCGACGUGGGAAUCGGGGUCUGAUCGAGAAAUUUGCGAGUUUUGAGACGAAAAUUUCGUGCUUUGGAAAGAAAUCUGGAGUUUUUAGGGGUUUCUUUUUCGGCUCUUGCAUUUUUUGAGGGUUUUAAUUCGCCCUGGGAUUCUGCAUUGGCUGGAGUCGAGGAGAGUUAUUGGUUGCCUUUGUUGAUUUGGGCGUAAAGGUUCUCUUGCAUCAACGCCUCGUGAGACGUUGAUGGUUGGCGUGGGAGGGGAUUGUUGUUAGAUUCUUAUUUAUGGGGGGCAAAGCUCAGUGGUUCCCGAGGAUGUGCCGGUUGGAGAAGUCGAUCGGAUCUCAUUACGCCGGGGAGCGGCAGGUGGGUCUGAAGGCCGGCGGCGACGACGUUGGGGUGAAGAUGGAGAAGCUUAAGGGCUCGAUGGUCUCGAGGUCUCGAGUGAAGCUCUGGACGAUCCGGGCGACGACCACCGUGCUGCUGUGGACGUGCGUGGUCCAGCUCACGGCACUCGGGGAGAUGUGGGGGCCGAAGGUGCUCAAGGGCUGGCCUUCUUGCUUCACCCCCUCCGAUUCGCCUGUUCUGGUGAAACCCUCUUCAGUGGUCGACAAAAUCCCUCCUCCGCCCAAAAGAAUAUAUAAGAACAAUGGUUAUUUAAUGGUGUCAUGCAAUGGUGGGCUUAAUCAGAUGCGAGCAGCGAUUUGCGAUAUGGUCACCAUUGCUAGAUAUUUGAAUGUGACACUCAUUGUACCGGAGUUGGAUAAAACAUCAUUUUGGGCUGAUCCUAGUGAGUUUCAAGACAUAUUUGAUGUGGAUCAUUUUAUUAAAUCAUUGAGAGACGAGGUUCGGAUAUUGAAAGAACUACCUCAUAGGUUAAAAAGAAGGGCAGAGCUAGGAAUGGUAUAUUCUAUGCCACCUGUUAGUUGGUCUGAUAUUUCUUAUUACCAAAAUCACAUUCUUCCUUUGAUACAGAAGCACAAGAUAGUGCAUUUAAAUAAAACUGAUGCUCGGCUUGCUAAUAAUGGCUUGCCUUUGGAGAUUCAGAAAUUGCGUUGUCGAGUAAAUUAUGCUGCUCUGCGAUUUACCUCCCAAAUUGAAGAGCUAGGUAGACGAGUGAUUAGAAUGCUGCGACAGAAUGGUCCAUUUCUGGUCCUCCAUUUACGGUAUGAAAUGGACAUGUUGGCUUUCUCAGGCUGUACUCAGGGUUGUACUGAAGAAGAGGCAGAGGAGUUGACAAGAAUGAGAUAUGCAUAUCCUUGGUGGAAAGAGAAAGUUAUCAACUCUGACCUGAAGAGGAAAGAUGGUCUCUGUCCUUUGACGCCAGAGGAAACCUCUCUGAUUUUGAGGGCAUUGGAUAUUGAUCGCAGUGUCCCCAUAUACAUCGCAGCAGGAGAAAUGUAUGGUGGACAAAGGAGGAUGGCUGCCCUUACUUCAGCUUAUCCAAAUGUGGUGAGAAAGGAGACGUUGUUGGAACCUUCCGAUCUUAGGUUUUUCCAGAACCACUCAUCACAAAUGGCAGCAUUAGAUUACUUGGUUUCUUUAGAGAGUGACAUUUUUGUUCCUACAUAUGAUGGUAACAUGGCCAAGGUUGUCGAAGGUCAUCGCAGGUACUUGGGUUUCAGGAAGACAAUCCAAUUGGAUCGAAAGCUCCUUGUUGAGCUGAUAGACCAGUACAAUAAUGGUUCUUUGGGUUGGGAUGAGUUCUCCUCGUCAGUUAAGGCUGCCCAUGUUACUCGGAUGGGAAAGCCCACAAGGAGGGUAGUGAUUCCCGAUAGACCCAAGGAAGAGGACUACUUCUAUGCCAAUCCCCAAGAGUGCCUGCAUCAGCUUGAUGAGCCAUGGACUUUGUGAAAUUAUUGGAACCCUUCCCUAUUCUUUCAUAAAUGCAGCAAAUCUAUAUCCUUUUUCCAAAGAGGUCUCCAUUGGACCCAACUGAUUACAGUGGAGGAGGUUUGCUUCAAGGAGAGGUUUGAAAAUUGGAGGAGGUCAGCUCAUGCUGGAGGUGUUCUUCUGAUGCAACUGGAUGGUCGCUUACCACUUCUGCUAUCAUGAUGGUAGACUUUUUUAUGUGGGUGCGCCUGGUGGUGCGACGAUGAUGGUGACAAAAAUCGUGUCACGGGCUGAAAUCUGCACUUCGGAUGGCGUCUCCGUUGAAGACUUUGCCGGAUUUAGUUGUUUGGUCGAGUCCACUAAUAUGGUCUUUUCGCUGGAAGUUGCCCGCUAAUGAUUCCUUUUCGCGGGAAGUCCCCUUCCGCUCCCACCAAUUCGAGCGUGGGUUUGAGUCCGGGCCCACUCACCAAACUCAUCCAUUUCUGGUCCCAUUUUAGUUGUUGUAGUCGCUAAGGUCAGCCAUCGUUGUUAAUAUAGCAUACGACUCAUUUUCAAGGAAGGCUCAGCUGUGACGAUCGCGAUCAUUAUUAUAUAGCAUAUAACUCAUUUUCGA
Non-coding RNA from Phoenix dactylifera (date palm), 2759 nucleotides. The record is from RefSeq and is a predicted model, not a curated record. NCBI's taxonomy places the organism in Eukaryota, Viridiplantae, Streptophyta, Magnoliopsida, Arecales, Arecaceae.